RNAcentral lists this ribosomal RNA (496 nucleotides) under uncultured bacterium. RNAcentral's name for it is "partial 16S ribosomal RNA". It matches the Rfam family "Bacterial small subunit ribosomal RNA", at positions 29 to 507 of the family's 1533-position model. The record is from RNAcentral.
AUGAACGCUGGCGGCGUGCCUAAUACAUGCAAGUCGAGCGAACAGACGAGGAGCUUGCUCCUCUGACGUUAGCGGCGGACGGGUGAGUAACACGUGGAUAACCUACCUAUAAGACUGGGAUAACUUCGGGAAACCGGAGCUAAUACCGGAUAAUAUAUUGAACCGCAUGGUUCAAUAGUGAAAGACGGUUUUGCUGUCACUUAUAGAUGGAUCCGCGCCGCAUUAGCUAGUUGGUAAGGUAACGGCUUACCAAGGCAACGAUGCGUAGCCGACCUGAGAGGGGGAUCGGCACCACUGGAACUGAGACACGGUCCAGACUCCUACGGGAGGCAGCAGGAGGGCAUCUUCCGCAAUGGGCGAAAGCCUGACGGAGCAACGCCGCGUGAGUGAUGAAGGUCUUCGGAUCGUAAAACUCUGUUAUUAGGGAAGAACAAAUGUGUAAGUAACUAUUCACGUCUUGACGGUACCUAAUCAGAAAGCCACGGCUAACUACGUG